RNAcentral lists this unclassified non-coding RNA (97 nucleotides) under Thorsellia anophelis DSM 18579. Its description in RNAcentral is "SraH RNA". The record is from RNAcentral. Lineage: Bacteria; Pseudomonadati; Pseudomonadota; Gammaproteobacteria; Enterobacterales; Thorselliaceae.
UUGAGACUCAUACUCAAUAUUAAGUUAUACUGCGUCCAUGUAAAUUCAUUGAUGUUUCCCUGGUGUUGGCGCAAUAUUAGCGCACCCCAAUCUAACG